Molecule: ribosomal RNA, 484 nt
Filed under: uncultured marine eukaryote
Lineage: Eukaryota
Description: bacterial SSU rRNA
Rfam family: Eukaryotic small subunit ribosomal RNA
Source: RNAcentral
GUUGCAGUUAAAAAGCUCGUAGUUGGAUUUCUGCGGGGGCGGGGCGGCCGACCUCAACUCGAGGUUCGAGCUAGCACUUCCCCUGCAUCCUGCCGCGAACCGUGCUACCAUUAGUUUGGUGGCGCUGGGGAUCGGCUCGUUUACUUUGAGAAAAAUAGAGUGUUCAAAGCAGGCCACACGCCUUGAAUAAGUUAGCAUGGAAUAAUGAUAAAGGACUUCGGUUCUAUUUUGUUGGUGUUCGGGACUGAAGUAAUGAUUGAUAGGGACAGUUGGGGCGGUCAGUAUUCCAAAGCGAGAGGUGAAAUUCUUAGACCUUCGGAAGACUAACAGCUGCGAAAGCGUUCCGCAAGGAUGUUCCCUUUGAUCAAGAACGAAAGUUGGGGGAUCGAAGACGAUCAGAUACCGUCGUAGUCUCAACUAUAAACUAUACCAGCUAGGGAUCGGCCAACGUUUACUUAUAUCGACUUGGUCGGCACCUUAUGAG